Molecule: long non-coding RNA, 502 nt
Filed under: Capra hircus (goat)
Lineage: Eukaryota; Metazoa; Chordata; Mammalia; Artiodactyla; Bovidae
Description: lncRNA (ENSCHIG00000003739.1)
Source: RNAcentral
AAACUAAAACCCAGUUAGUUAUUAAGUUACCUCAGAACUGCAGCGCACAAACCUGAGCAAGUUCUGAGGCAACUUUGGUGAGACUUUUUUCUCUAAAGCUAUUAACAGGCGAGAGAGACCCAGGAAAAUAGUGGGGGCCAGAAGGGAAGGAGAGAAAAGAAUUCACGGUGAGCCUUCCUAUUUGAAAAAGAAGCAUUGUAGGCAAGCUCACACCUGAAUGAGUCAAGAAAACGUUAUGAAAUAUCGUCCUGAUUCAGGCAAAAUGGCAGUCAGAUCGACUUGGGCUCAGAUGAUCUAGGCUAGGAAUGCCUGAGCUUUAUUUGCUGUUCAUUCUCCUGGAACAAGUGGGCUACUCAAGAUAUGUAAGUGCUGUGCUCUUUUAUUGCUUUCCCCAGAGGAGAACUCAUAAUGAAGACAAGAGCCAGCUAAAGCUUUUACCCUCUGAUCUCUGACAAUCUCAUUUUCAGGUAAACUAUAUCUGACAGCAGAGGGGAGGCUUUCU